UUUUUUUUUUUUUUUUUUUUUUUGGUCUUUUCGCCCUUUCUAGGGCUGCUCCUGUGACCUACACCACAGAUCCGGCGUUGCUGUGAGCUGAGGUGAAGGUCACAGAUGCGGCUCAGAUCUGGCGUGGCUAUGGCUGUGGUGUAGGCCGGCAGCUGCAGCUCCAGUUCGACCCCUAGCCUGGGAACUUCCAUGUGCUGCAGGUGCAGCCCUAAAAAAGCAAAUACAUAAUUAAAUAAAUUCCAGGAUUUCCCAUUAUGGCGCAGUGGUUAACGAAUCCGACUAGGAACCAUGAGGUUGCGGGUUCGGUCCCUGCCCUUGCUCAGUGGGUUAACGAUCCAGUGUUGCCAUGAGCUGUGGUGUAGGUCGCAAACGCCGCUUGGAUCCCACGUUGCUGUGGCUCUGCUGUAGGCCGGCAGCUACAGCUCCGAUUCGACCCCUAGCCUGGGAACCUCCAUAUGCCGUAGGAGCGGCCCNNNNNNNNNNNNNNNNGCGCGUGGGGCGCGCCCAAAAAAAAAAAAAAAGAAAAAAAAAAAAAAAAAAAAAAAAGAAUAAAUAAAUUCCAGAUUCUGCCCAGUGUCUUCCUCUGGAGCCCAAAGUCCCUCUCACUUGAGGAACCACAAACCGCUGUUCUAGACCAAGAGUCCAGACUAUAGCAACGGCACCGAGGUGAGGCGGUGAGAGUUGGCCCAGGCUGAACACAGAGUGAGAGGGUCAAGGGCCAUGCCCAGGCCUGUGGGCCCUAAGCUGCUUUUGAGGAGGGUGAGUACCAGGCUCCCGGUGGCGAAUCAGCAGAGCUGCUGUGAUGGUGUCGUGCUCCACUGAAUAGCACCUGUAGAGCUUGGGUGCUGCGGCCUGGCACAGAGGGAGCGCUCAGGAAAUGCCAGGCGCUGCUGUUACUGCCCUUGCUUCAGACAGAGUAGAAGCAGAGCGUUUUAGAGUCUUCAGCUGCUGGGACAAAAAUACCUCCAGGGAGUGGCUUAGGAAAGAUAAACACGGGUUUCUCACUGUUCUGGAAGCCGAGGAGCCCAAGGUGCCAGCAGAUUUGCUGUGGCCUGGUACACAGCCGGGAAUGUGUUGUGGGAAGAAUUUUCGAUUUACCUACAGAUAUAAUUGUGGAGUAAAUUUUUGCUCACGUUAAGUGUGUGUAUCUUUGGGGGGGGUGCGUGUGUGCAUGUGUUUAAGAUCAGACUGGCACACUUUUCUUGUAAAGGAGCAUGUGGUACAUAUCUUUGACUUUAUGGGCCGUACUCAGCUUUGCCUUUGCAGUGUGGAAAAAGCCACAGACAGCACAUCAACCCGUGAGCAUGGCUGUAUUCCACCAAAACGUUAUUUGCACAACAGCAAGAUCCUAUCAGACAGCACAGGGACUAUAUCCAGUCUCUUGAAAGAUAAUAUAAGAAAAGGAAUGUGUAGGAGUUCCCAUUGUGGCUCAGCGGUAAUGAACCCGACUAGGAUCCAUGAGGAUGCAGGUUCCAUCAUAGCCUCACUCAGCGGGUUACGGAUGCAGCAUUGCUGUGAGCUGCAGGAGACGUGGCUCGGAUCCCGCGUGGCAGUGGCUGUGAAGGAGGCUGGCAGCUGCAGCUCCACUUCAACCCCUAGCUGGGGACUUCAUAGGCUGCCGGUGCGACCCUAAAAAGAAAAAAAAACAAAAA
Molecule: long non-coding RNA, 1652 nt
Filed under: Sus scrofa (pig)
Lineage: Eukaryota; Metazoa; Chordata; Mammalia; Artiodactyla; Suidae
Description: lncRNA (ENSSSCG00005037548.1)
Source: RNAcentral